Long non-coding RNA from Gallus gallus (chicken), 2633 nucleotides. RefSeq lists it as uncharacterized. The record is from RefSeq and is a predicted model, not a curated record. The transcript has 2 exons. NCBI's taxonomy places the organism in Eukaryota, Metazoa, Chordata, Aves, Galliformes, Phasianidae.
UGGGAGCCGCGGCGCGCGGGGGCCGAUGGGAAGUGUAGUCCCGCGCCGCGGGGGGGUGGUGCCGCGCUGCUGAGGGGAGGGCCGUCCCGCGUCAGGCGGUCGGCGGGCGCUGCUACAGUGACUGGCUGUACUGAGUCUGUGUGCCGUUCAUAAAUAGCAAUUCAGUGCUUCAUAGCAAAGCGUGGAAAUGAUACUGAGGCAUUAAUGUUUCCAAUACAUUUUUAUUAUGUUGAGAAGCUGAUGUUGCAGCUCUCCUGAUGUCACAGGGGCGUGAUCACGAACCCGUGUCACAAGGGAGGCUGAGCGUAGGGCUCUGCCGGGUAUCCUUAGGAUGCACUGCUUGUGUUCUGUUUACACGGAUUGGUUCUGUUUGUACCAAUCAUCUCACAGAAUGUGAAGUAAAUACGAUUUUCAUGUUCUCGUGAAGUGGUGGAGUCACCGUCCCUGGAGGUGUACAAAGACCUUACGGACGUGGCACUGAGGGCCAUGGUCAGUGGGCAUGGUGGGUGUGGCUUGGGGUUGGCUAGGUGAUCUUAGGGGUCUUUUCCAACCUUAAUAAUUCUAUGAUUGUUACUUCUGCUUGCUCUGUGGCUAUGGCUGUUCUUAGCAUCCCCAGUCCUUUCUGUCAGGAAGCCUCAGCAAGAAGUCACCAGUGGUUUUGGAUGCCUGACCAAUGUAUUUUUUUAAUCAAAGGCAACAUAUAUGAAGAAAAAGCAAAUAGGAAAAUUAAGCCUUACGCAGUCUGCAAACUGAUCUGUCCUAACUCUGUUUUCGUGAGCAGCCUGUAUAGGUGUGUCACAGAAUCACAGAGUCACCAAGGUUGGAAAAGACCUCUAAGGUCAUCCAGUCCAACCAUCCACCUAUCACCAAUAUUUCCCACUCAAACAUAUCCCUCAUCUAAACAUUUCUUAAACACCUCCAGGGACCAUGACUUCACCACCUCCCUGGGCAGCCCAUACCAGCAUGUGACCACUCUCUCUCCAUUCCCCAAAAUAGUGAUCAACAAUUGCUCUCUCUCUGUUUUUUCUUUAUAAAGGGAAUGUCCCACAUAUCCUGCCAACAGGAGACUUUUCUUAUUGCUCUUAUCUGUUGGUUAUAUUUACUGGCUCGAGUUCGACUAGAUGAAUAAAUUUACAUAGCAGACUGUUUAUUAGUAGAUUACUCCAGGACUCUCACAAAAACAAUAAGAAGAAGAAAAAAAAAGGAACAACAACAAAAAAAAGAAGCUGUCUGAACAUAUUCCAUAUAGUCAAACUUCCAAUACACAAAGUACAGCAAAGGAAUCUUAUUAACAUGAUAAUAAUAAUGGCAUUGUUAUCAUUCAAUUAUUUAAUUACUAAGCAGACUGACAUUGUUCUUACAUGUUUGAUAAACAGGUUUUCGCAGUCAGCAUGAUUAACACUCUACUUUGAACACUGACAGGCUGUGAAAACAACCUAGCAAGUUACACUUAUCAUUUGAAAGCUGAAAAGCUGAUACGGCAUUAUGUUAGUACCAAAUACUUCAAUCGCUGUUUUCUUAAGCAGGAAGCUUCAAUUAUUAAAAAAAAAAAAAAAAAAAAAAAAAAAGUAUUUAAAGUUUGAUUCAUCACACAAUUAAAUAACAGCUGAUGAGACAUUUCCAAAUAAAAUUAUUGCACUAACCAUGUAGAAACUAGACUAGAUCACAAAAUAAUUAAGAUUUGGUGCCUUCAAAAAGGAAUGAAGAACAUCUUUCAACAUCUUUCAGUAUCCUUUUUACUUAUGAUCCUGAUUUAUUGUAAUGCCAUUUAGCAAUUAAGAACCCUCAAAAUGCUUCUGUUAAAAGAAGUCAGUCCAGUCAGCCAGGUGCCUCCUCCCAUAACACUGACAAUGAACUUAGCAUAUCAUCAAUGUUAUUCUUCCUGGUUGUACUCUCCAAGUACUGCAGUCAAAAAGACAAGAAGAUGCUGUGUAAAACCAUGCUUUCCUUAAGACCGUACAUGUUUGUAGGAGGCCGAUCAUAGCUGCUGUUGUUGAUAUCUAGACCAUCAAGCAAAGAAUUAAUCAUCAAAAGCUUAUCCUCAGGGAGCCCUCUGGGAGAUGGCAGUUUGGACACUUCAGCAGUGACGCAGCAGCUGAGGGAAGGAGAAGCAACGGGUUAAGCAGCAUCAGCAGAAAGUGGCUGUAAUUGAAGAGGAUAUUUGAAGAAAGAAAAUGCAGUCUUUUCCACUUUCAUGACCCAAUUUUUUUACUCAUGGUAAAGGCUUCUUUCUCCUCAUUUUGGUAUUAGCUAUGUUUGGGAAGUAUUGAGCUUUAUCUUUGCUCGUGGAUAAUAACAUUUAAAAAUAUGUAUUAUUUACUUAAUUGUUGCUGCUAAAUGCUGUGAUUCUUCUUAUUCUUUCCUUCCAUUACUUUUUAGUAGCAUAAACUGCUCCAUCUCUUGUUUGAUUCUAUGGGGAACACUCCCACACACCUCUGCUGCAUUUUUAUAGAUUUCUUGUCAGUGCUGUUAAAUUGCAUCAGAGUAGAGAAGGAAGGCUAUGGGCCCAACUGAUGGUCUCCCUCCUAAAUUUCAUUACAGAUGGCUAGAAUCAAAAUUUACUGAAGUCAUGGAGAAUUUUUGUAUUAACUUUGGAUCAAGCUAUAAAUUUUUAUUAAAAAAAACAACAACAA